GGACCAUUAGCUCAAUUGGUCAGAGCAUCGCCCUAUUCAAGCGAAGGUCGCGGGUUCGAUCCCCUCAUGGUCCA
Non-coding RNA from Mycetomoellerius zeteki, 74 nucleotides. The record is from the annotation of a RefSeq genome assembly. Lineage: Eukaryota; Metazoa; Arthropoda; Insecta; Hymenoptera; Formicidae.